This 83-nucleotide small nucleolar RNA is filed under the name Rhinopithecus bieti (black snub-nosed monkey). RNAcentral's name for it is "Small nucleolar RNA Me28S-Am2634 (ENSRBIG00000016385.1)". Lineage: Eukaryota; Metazoa; Chordata; Mammalia; Primates; Cercopithecidae. The record is from RNAcentral.
CAUGAUUUUAUUUGAUUUUAUUUUUAGAUGGAAUCUCAUUCUGUUGCCCAGGCUGGAGUGCAGUGGCACAAUCUCGGCUCACU